This 253-nucleotide ribosomal RNA is filed under the name uncultured bacterium. RNAcentral's name for it is "partial 16S ribosomal RNA". It matches the Rfam family "Bacterial small subunit ribosomal RNA", at positions 524 to 776 of the family's 1533-position model. The record is from RNAcentral.
UACGUAGGGUGCAAGCGUUGUCCGGAUUUAUUGGGCGUAAAGAGCGUGUAGGCGGUUUGGUAGGUCCGUUGUGAAAACUCGAGGCUCAACCUCGAGACGCCGGCGGAAACCAUCAGGCUAGAGUCCGGAAGAGGAGAGUGGAAUUCCUGGUGUAGCGGUGAAAUGCGCAGAUAUCAGGAAGAACACCCGUGGCUAAGGCGGCUCUCUAGUACGGUACUGACGCUGAGACGCGAAAGCGUGGGGAGCGAACAGG